Molecule: non-coding RNA, 601 nt
Organism: Salvia hispanica
Lineage: Eukaryota; Viridiplantae; Streptophyta; Magnoliopsida; Lamiales; Lamiaceae
Source: RefSeq, a predicted model, not a curated record
AUGUGAUCGUGUGUGGGUUAUUCCUAUUUUUGGCAAUUAUAUUUCUCUAAAAGCGUCCACAAUUCAACCGAUCGAUUAUCAAUCCAAAUUCCAAAAUUCAAAGAAUCAAUGGAGAAUGAGGACGAGAACGGGUCGUACUACGAAAAAGUCGAUUGCCUGGCGCGAUGGCUCGGCAUGGGCGUCGCGGCGGCGUUCUUCGCCUCCCUCGAGCGCUGCUCCUGCGUCAACCUAACCACCUUCGACACUGACGACGACAACGAAGCGGAGGAGGCUAAGGAUCGCCCCCUCGUGCUCACCUCCUACCCUUCCUUCAGCUCCACCACUUCUUCUUUCGCCGCCCCCAAUAAUCCCGUUGCUAAUCUGAAAAAUCCUCCCACGCCCGUUGAGAAUCUGCCAGUCUGAUCGCCUCGCCGAUGAACAUGAUCGGAGAUGAUCGAUGUGGAUCAGUAUAUAUAUGUGGAGUUCGAAAGUCUGGAGGCUGGACAUCUUGUGAAGCCCAACUAAAGCCGGUGUUUUGUUGGAUGUUUUUACUUUUGCACUUGAAUAAUUGUUGUAGUAAUUUUUCAACUUGGUUUCACAUGGGAAAAAUAGCUCUUUUACA